Molecule: long non-coding RNA, 526 nt
Filed under: Rattus norvegicus (Norway rat)
Lineage: Eukaryota; Metazoa; Chordata; Mammalia; Rodentia; Muridae
Description: long non-coding RNA NONRATT003612
Source: RNAcentral
GCUCGGGCAGCUUGCCACUAUGGCUGGUAUAGAUCAGUCAGAUUUCCACCUGUUAGGUCGUCCCCAGAUGAGUUCUACGGUUAACACACCUGUGGAAGAACAGAAAGGACUUGAAGAUGAAAAUCUGGAUCUGAAGCAGACUGCUGUAGGACAAAUGCAGGACAUCGGUGUAAGUGGACCUGUCAGGCUUGGUUCAAGCCGUUAGCAAGGAGUUCCCCGGGUCAGAGAAAGGAAUGGCGGACUGUCUCUGGCAGAGUUAAGUCUGUGCCUAUUUCCAGAAGCUGCAUGGUUGUCAGUAAGGAAAUGGGGCUGGGCAUGAUGGUGGGAUGCACGCCUUAGAUCCUGGCGCUUGGGAGGCAGGGACUGACGGGUCUGCAUAAUGAAUUCCAAAGCAGUCGAGACUUCAUAGUGAGACCUUAUCUCAAAAGAAAAGAGACAAAACUGGAAGUUUUAUGAUAAUUUAUACUUGAAAUAAGCAACCUUCAUUGAAGAAAGAGAGUAAAGAGAUAAUCAGAAUUUAAAGUUU